This is a long non-coding RNA of Pan troglodytes (chimpanzee), 2640 nucleotides long. RefSeq lists it as uncharacterized. NCBI's taxonomy places the organism in Eukaryota, Metazoa, Chordata, Mammalia, Primates, Hominidae. The transcript is spliced from 2 exons. The record is from RefSeq and is a predicted model, not a curated record.
CCCCAACCCCAGGAGGCCCCGCUCCCCAGGCCUCGGCCGGCGCGGACCCCUGGUUGCCCCGGGGUCGGGAGCAGCCGGGGAGAGCUGAGUUCAGAGCCCAGAGUCGGACAUCAGGCCACACGCUGAGAGGGUAGUAAAUGAAAGGGAGUCCGGUUUAGUCGCGGGCAGGGCAUCUCCUCUUCUGCUUGUCUAAAAGUCGCUGGGUGCAGGGGAAGCAAUACUAAGCGGGAAUUUCUUUUUAGUGGCAUCUACACAAUUUGCCUUUCCUGGUUUUUGUUUUGUUUUGUUUUGUUUCCUAAGGAGGGGGAGGCUCUGUAGAGGAAGCUUCGGCCCUGGGUGCCCCUGGGUUGGGAGCAGCCGGGGAGAGCUGAGCCAGGGCGCACGCCCUGUCGGCGCUGCAGGUGUGGGGCGCAGGAGUCCUUCUGGCCGGCGCCUCCGCCCCCCGGGGAGGCUGGAGCUCUCCAAGGCCGGGGAGCCUCCCGAAGCGCGCUGCCCCCUCUGUUCUCCGCGUGCUUUCACUAGGGCCCCAUGCUGCUUAGUGGCCGAUUUGCAGGGAAUCUGGGCACAAUCUUAAUAACACCAGGGCCAAAAAUAACAACGUUCCUGGGAACCAGAGCAGCUGGAGCGCACCCCAUGGAUGCUGGGCCAUCUCCCCGGGGACUAGUGCCUGACAGAGCUGACAGAGUUCUAGGCCACAUGUGGGCUAGAAGGAACCGCCAUGUCUACCACAGCACAGUCCUUAAGCAGGAGCCUUUUGAAGCACUUGGACUCAAAACAAUGGCUGUUUGUUGUUGUUGUUGUUGUUGUUGUUUGUUUGUUUUGAGGGAGCCAGAAAGCUAAAAAAUGUAAAAGAAGCAGGUCACAUUAGACAUGAUUUCAGACAGCCUCCCCGAAGGACAGAUGAUCUCACUUGGCAACACAUACUGGGCCAGGCUCACUCAUGAGGGGGCAGCGUGGCAUGCACCCCACUCGGGGCAAGAAUGAGGCUUAAAUAUUAGCUGACUCAGAACAUAGCAAGUGCUCAGUAAUGGCUUCUGGAACGAACCCGUGGUUGUCACCAGCAGGAGUGACGAAAGCUAGAAGCCGUUUCACCAUCCAGGGAAGAGGAGGAACAAUAUUUUUCUCUUUGGAGUUCCCACACUCAGAAGAGAGAACACCAGCAUAUGAACACAGAGUGUCACAUGAUGUAGGAAACGUCCUGUAGGUAGAGAGUAUAAUUCCAAAGCUUAGGAUCCUGCUAGUUCCUUGUGCAGUGCUUCCGGUGGGCAACAUGGUGACCCCCCAGUCCCUCAGGCUUGAGGCAGGCCAGCACAGCUUCUCUGGGAGCCAGGUCAUUUCAGAAUUUAACCCCAGAACUAGGUCACCCCAGAACUAGGUCACCCCAGGCAACACAAGUCUCCUCUCCCUUGGAUACAGGAAGCGGAGGAAAAGGCCAGGCAUGCUCAGGGGCAAACCAACACCCAGGUGAAAGGGAGCUGGGCUGGUUUCAGGGAGCAGCCUGGUUUCAGGGAGCCGGACUCAUGAUGUGCUUGAGACCCUCAAAUUCACCCCUGGAAGCAGCUGCCCCCGUGACAAGGAACUAAGGACAGGCAUGUCAUGAACUGUGAAUUAGAGUGACAUUUGUCCCUCCCUUCAUCAACAGACUGCCCCAAGAGCUUCCCAAAUUAUCUGCCAUAGAAUACCUUGUUUCCCUCGAGUCUCUGAAAGGGGGCCGCAAAAGCUGUCCCCACGCUGGAAAUGCAGGGCCAGGCUUUUAAAGUUUUGCUCCCGGAUUAUGAGAACACCUAGAAAAUUCAGUGCUCCUCUCCACUCCCCCAAACCCCUUCACAAGCCCCCACCCUUCGUUUAACAAACAUAUAUAUAGUGCUUUCCUGGUACCAGAUACUACUUUAAGCACUUGACAAAAUAUUUAGUCAUACAUAAAACCCUUAUAAUUACACUGUAAUUCACUCUCGUCAGAUCCAGUCAUUGUGAAGAAACGGAGGCACGGGGAGAUUAAGAGAGCUACUUAAGAAGACACGGUGCCAGGUUUCUACCCAAGCCAUUUGGAUCUAGGGUCUGGAGGCCAUGUGAGCCAUUUUGCAUUAGAUUAAUGCUUUAAUUCAGUUCACAGUUAGACAACAUACGUUCCCCAUCUAUAUCUAUACCCAUCUGGAAGGCAACAAAAAGAUGAUAAACUGAUAGUGUCAUGUGCCCAUGACCCAGCUAACAAAGAGGCUCUGGGUUCCAAUGCCCCAGUCUUUCAUGGGAUUCCAUCGACCUCAUGCCCUGCUCCCCUCCCCAACAGAGAUGGAAACAUUAUCCUGAAUUUUGUGUUUAUCAUCCCUUGUUUCUCUCUAUAGUUUUGCCACUUAUGGUUGUAUGAUUUUUGUUUGUUUGUUUUUUGAGACGGCAUCUCGCUCUGUCACCAGGCUGGAGUGCAGUGGCAUGAUCUCGGCUCUACCUCCCAGGUUCAAGCCAUCCUCCUGCCUCAUCCUCCCGAGUAGCUGGGACUACAGGCACACGCCACCAUGCCCAGCUAAUUUUUGUAUUUUUAGUAGAGACGGGGUUUCACCUUAUGGUUGUAUCUUUAAACAAUGUCUUGUUUAGUUUUGCCAUGUUUUCGGACUGUGAAUAAAUAGAAUUAUUAUGCUGUGUGAA